CAUUAGCCGCGGUAAUACGGAGGGUGCAAGCGUUAAUCGGAAUUACUGGGCGUAAAGCGCACGCAGGCGGUCUGACAAGUCAGAUGUGAAAUCCCCGGGCUUAACCUGGGAACUGCAUUUGAAACUGUCAGGCUGGAGUCUUGUAGAGGGGGGUGGAAUUCCAGGUGUAGCGGUGAAAUGCGUAGAGAUCUGGAGGAAUACCGGUGGCGAAGGCGGCCCCCUGGACAAAGACUGACGCUCAGGUGCGAAAGCGUGGGGAGCAAACAGGAUUAGAUACCCGUGUAGUCCCUGUCUCUUAUAC
RNAcentral lists this ribosomal RNA (301 nucleotides) under uncultured bacterium. RNAcentral's name for it is "partial 16S ribosomal RNA". It matches the Rfam family "Bacterial small subunit ribosomal RNA", at positions 509 to 807 of the family's 1533-position model. The record is from RNAcentral.